CCGAAACAGGUUCAAAACGCAUAUAUAUGUUUACAGGAGUACUGCACUUUACCGGGCGCACUUUUUCCCGGGUUCCCUAACCCUAAGGAUCGUAAACGGUGCCUAACCCUUUUUCCGAGCAUGGUAAAUCUUAUAUAAAUCAUAUCUAAAUUUAACGAGAUUGGAGCUCAGCGGUCACUUGUCCCAAUGAUAAUAAUGACACUUCGCGAGCAUCUGUUGUAAGGGAGGUCACUCUCGAUUACUUCUCCUGUUAGGCGAAUGGAAAGGAAUGUUGCAGACAAGGUUCUGUCUGAUGUUCACGUGUUCACACCACACGAAACACUCACUGACACCGACGAGAGUGUGAACAGAGUGACCAGAUUCUACUUCAGCCUCCCCCCAGAUGUCUGCAGAGAGUUGUCAGCAGACAUUGUCUCCGACACGUCAGAUCCCAAUGAUGAUGGAGAACUUUUAUUUGAUGAUGAUGGUGAUGUCUUGGUUACUAGGAAACCACUUACAGAAGACAAACAGGUCAUCACAAUCGAACACAUGAUGGAGACCAAACUUGAUGAUGUUGGACUACAAGUUUGGCAGGGUUGUCUCCUUCUGUGCGACUUUGUCCUUCACCUUCACAAAGAGUUCAAGGGCAACAAGGUCUUGGAUUUGGGGGCCGGUGUUGGUCUCACAAGCAUAGUGGCAGGACUGUUUGCAGAGUCUGUUCUAGUCACAGAUGUGGGAGAAACGAUCCUAAGUGCAUCAGAAUGCAACAUUGCCUUGAACAAACCACUACUGGGUGAAGACUGCACUUUCAGAGUUAAAGAACUUAACUGGUUGAAGUUCAGUGGACCCAAAGACAGUUGUUCUGAUGUUAGAGCCUGCAGAUUCAAGAUGACAGCAGAUGACCACGCAUUGCUGGACAGUGUCAGCCUCAUUCUGGCAGCUGAAGUAAUAUAUGAUCCAGACUUAACUGAUGCUUUCUUCUCUACGGUAACACAACUCAUGUCCAGACCACCAGCAAAGACUCUCUACAUGACUCUAGAGAAGAGACUGGUGUUCACGCUGGCUGACCUGGACGUAGUCAGUCCUGCUUACGAACAUUUCCGUGAGAUGAUACAAGAACUGUCGGGUUUGUGUGUUGAUGGAGUCACCUUCCACUGCUGCCAGAUCCAUUGUGACUUUCCCCAAUACUUCACGUAUGAUCGGCACAAACACCUGGAGCUGUGGCAAAUAACUUCCUGUAUGGCUGAAUGAAUCUUACAGCAGCAUGGGGCAUAUGUGGCCCAGUGGUUCAAGUCAUUCAGAGUUGCGUCACUGAAGAGAUCCAAGAAUUGCCCAUCAGAACCAUACUCAUAGGUUUCACACAUGUGAUAAGGGUCUGUUUGGGCCGUACUCACACACUUUAAAGUUUGACAUACCGUUCUACCCAACUGGCCAACUCAAAAUCAUCAAUGUGAGGCUGAAGACUCAUACUGCUCAAAUUCCAGACCAGGAUGUGAGAGAAAGGGUUCUGGCACUUACUGUCAGCAGGAUGUAGCCGGGCUGCAGGGACAGGCUCAUCUUAGUGAUGCAGAGAAAAGGUUCUGGCAUUCACUGAUCAGGAGACAAUGUAGCCAGGGAUCCAUUCCACAAAGCAUUCAUAGCACUUUGCCAGUCAUAAGCCCAUGAACAAGUACAGAGAUGUGAUAGGUUGUGACAUUUCAAAUGCUUUGUGGAUCAGGACCCAGGAUGAUGGUAUCAGCCCAUCUCAAAAUGCAGAAAAAGGGUUCUCAAGUUCCUGAUCUGGGAACAUGUAACCAGGAUAAUAGUACCAGCCCAAAUCAUGGAUGUAGAGGAAUGGUCUGGCAUUAACUGAAGGGAUCAGGAGCACAUUUUUCUAUUUUUGUAGACUCAAAAUUGAACUGAACUGUAGCUGACACCACUUCUGACACCAUGUAGCGUUCUGUGUAUCUUGAGAUUUGAAUAAACACAGAGCUGUCAUGGGUACAGGUCGGACAUGUUGCUUUACUCAUUUAACCUGCUUUACAGUGCAAGGGAGAUAACUCUCGUAGAAGUGCAUAUCAGUACGUGAACUAGUAACUACUGCUAAAACAACUGGUGUGACAAGGUGGACAUUGCUUCUAUGGUCCAGUCAUAUUGACCAAUGGUCAGCGGUGGAGUUUGAUGCAUUGCCCAUGUUCAUUUGUGCACCAAUAUGUUUUUCUAUACAAACUUUACAAUGUGAGGACAGUUCACUGCCCUUGGCAGUUAUGUAUACUAAAAUUUUGGGAACAUCUUA
Molecule: unclassified non-coding RNA, 2254 nt
Filed under: Haliotis rubra (blacklip abalone)
Lineage: Eukaryota; Metazoa; Mollusca; Gastropoda; Lepetellida; Haliotidae
Description: methyltransferase-like protein 22, transcript variant X3
Source: RNAcentral